This 8407-nucleotide long non-coding RNA is filed under the name Gallus gallus (chicken). The record is from RNAcentral. Lineage: Eukaryota; Metazoa; Chordata; Aves; Galliformes; Phasianidae.
CAGCAGGGAAAGCAUGAGACUCAAUCCAGAAUGGGCAUUGUAUAGCUUGGAUUACAUCUGUUAAUGGAUGGGUGGGAGAUGAGAACAGGAGGGGAAGUCAGCUGUUGAAUUUUACACACUGCAUGGAAAGUAGGAAAAAAAAAUCAAAUAGCCAUUACCCCUAAUUUAAUUUAAGCCAACAUCAAUCACUUCAUGAGGACUGAAGAGAGAGAGCCCAUCACUGUAUCAGAAAAUCAUGUUAUUAUCAGUUUGCUGUCAUAUCCUAACUUAACAGAAAAAUCAACACGGGGCUUUUAAAGUUGAUAGUUUUUAUUUACAUUUUUGUUGGCAAAGGGCAGUGGGAACGUUUGAAACAUUUUAAACAGAGGGCACCAUAUUGUACUGCGUGAUGUAUCAGUUCACUGUCUGUAUCCUCAGUAUCCAGCUGAUCAAAUAAAGCUAAUCAACAUGUAAAGAAAAGUGAUCUGCAUCAGCUCCUCUAGAGCGUGCUGCCUAAAAGCAAGGCAGGCAGUUUCUAAAUCAACACAAUCACUAUUAAAAAUGCAGUUCUGGUCAAGAACAUUUACUUUUAUUUCAUACUGUACCUGGUAUCAACUUCCCACUUACAUCUGCAUACGGGCAAAGCAGUUACACUCCCUACUUUUAGGGUGAAAUUUAUUAUCUCAUUCUCUGCAAAUUCAGCUGUCAGGUAAUUAUGAACUAUUCUGAGUAUUUUACUGUGAUCAUAGCAAGACUGGAGAUGAGACUGAAGUAAAACAUUCCUGGUAUAUGACGUGCCCAUCAGAAUCAGCCGGGUAACCAUAAACAUCCUGUUUAAGAAAUCUAUUCAAAAAGGAGAAAAAGUGUAGUCAGUUUGCACUUUAUCACAUGGAUUUUAAUUCCCAUUUGAGCUUUUUAAUUCAUUCUUCUAAAUCAAGAGUGUUUAGUUCUUCUUCUAGUUCAUCCAAGUCCUCGCCAGUAAAAAGGUUUUCAUCAACCGGAACUGCAUCCAUUACUCCAUUUUCCAACUCUUCAUCGCCAUCGCGAUCUUCUAAAUCAUUUUGUUCACUGCUGUUUAUCUCACCACCAGAAGCUUCACUGAGUUUGUUAUCAUCUUUUUCUAUUGAAGCAUAUGUGCUGAACCGCUCAGGACUAGCCACAGUAAUGCCAGUUUCAUCUACAGCCUUUGGGACAUACAGACUCAGGUCUACAUCAUUUACGCACACAGGGUCUUCCACCUCAUCAUCUUCUCCCGUUCCUUGGGUGUAGCGAGUGUCGUCUGCUUCUUCAUCAUCGGCAUCAACCAGCUCUGGUCGGAACUCAAAUACUUCACGUCCACUAAUCACCAAUGCCUUGCCAGCUUUAAAAUCUGCUUUCCUCCUUUCCAUAUCUUGCUCUGCCUUAUCAAUUUUUUCUUGUCUUUUUCUUCUCUUCCAUGCAAUAAAACACUCUAAAGUGAUUUUGGUAACAUUUGGUCCUAAGGCAGCACGCUCUUUUUCUAUUAGAUCUUCUAAGGAAAUUUCAUCUUGCUUUUCUUCCUUCUUUUUGUCUUUUUUUAGUACAAAACCUGGAGGAAGAGCAUGGCGAUACAUGCAAUUGUCUCCACCACCUGGACAGACCCAAAACCAUCCGUAUUUGUUGUUUUCAAUAGCAUCAAGAAAAUACUUGCAGACUAUUUGAGUUUUGGGUUUUUUCUUUUCCGCCUCACCGUGCUUCUUGUUCACCACCUCUUCUAGCUUCUUCUCAUCCCAGUUAUCCAUUGUGUCUUUUUCAAGGUCUUCAUCUCUUGCAUCAAUGUACACACUUCGUUUUUCACACUUCCUUUCCAAAGACAAGUCAUGAGAAAACUUGCACUUGUCUCCUUUAGUGCACUGUCCUUGCUUGAAGAAAGCACAAACUACAGAUUUGGGAUCAGCACCUUUGCUAAUCUUCUGUGCAGCAACCACAGGCUUGAAGAGUUCAUUUAAUUCUUGUAGUUCUUUUUUCUUAUCUUCUUUUUUUAAUUUCUUUUCACUUUCUGUUUGAGCGGCCUGACGUGGAUUUUGCUGACCAAAUUUAACCUGGUGAGUCACAGCCUUGAUAAAUUUCUGUUGUUUUGCACCUUUCUUGUUCUUUAGGCCAAAUGUUUUGUCCUCGAUGAUCUUCUCCUUCUUCUUCUGGUCCGCCUUCUUGCUGCUCCCCGCCGGCUGCUGCUGCUUCUUGGGGGGCAUCGCGGGGAGGCGGGGCGGCCGCGGCUCCCGCUCGGAGCCUGGCGGGGACGGACAGACUGCCGGGCCGGCUCCGCGCCGCCGCCGGGAGGCGCAACGCAGCUGGCUCGCGGGGCACGCCGGGACUGCGGAGCGGGGCGCGCGGGGCCGCUCAGCUCCCGGCAGGGCGCGCGGCGCGCGUCACGCGGGCCGUGCUGCGUCAACGGUCCCGCCCUGAGGGAGGGCGUUGGCGGCAAUCCGCGGGCGCCGCCAUGUUGGGGCGUGGCUCGUGUGAGGGGGCGGGACGCGCGCCUUCCCUCCGCCUCUCCCCCGUUCUACGAGAUUCGAUUAGGCAUGGCUGCACGCAGGUGUUGCAAAGCUAGAGGAGAGAAAGGAGUACGUUGAAGAAGGGCGUUCCCGCUCAGCUGUGAGCAGAGAGGUGGGACGGAGCUAAAAUCUGGUGUUGAUCGUCGUGUGAGAGCACCUGAGUGAACCUCCAGCAACGAUAACACUGCGUGGAGGGAGCAGAGACAAAGCACAUAAUGGCGCUUGUGCACGUUUGCAGCUGUAACUUUUGCUGCUGUAUAUAUCUUUUACUUUCUGUCAGGAAAGGAAAGUAACCGAGAGAGAACUGAAAGGAAAAAGACACUUUACCUCAUAUUUCCAUCUUCCCAGUUAAAAAAGUGCAUGCAAGAGAACCUGCAAGCUAAGCAAUCAAGUCAGGGAGAGAAACGCCCCCAGCCGACAGCCAGGUAACAAAGGCACCACCUGCGUGUCCCUGUAUUCCUUCUCCUCAGUUCCACCUGAGAAACUCAUCAUUCCCUGAAGACCGCCCCCCCCCCCAAAAAAAAAACAACUAAGGUACUGCAUUUCACACUGAGACUGGGUAAAGGAAUCUGCUACUGUAUAGAGCUUUCUGAGACACAUGAACCCUAGUUACCAGGGAAGUUGUGCUAAAUACACCAUCCCUUCAAAAUAAGGAGUCUUUUCUGCAAACAGAAAGCACAUCAUACUUCAUGCAUUAGACUGGGGUCAGGUUUAGCACACAAACAGCUACAGCCUGCCCAAGAGCAGACAAGUACUACAAUCAAGCCCACCUUUGAGGCUUACAUUCCCAGGGAGCACCUCUCUGUUGGUGAGCACAGAGUCCUGCAGAGCACCUCUCUUCAUCCACUUGGACAAGUUCUCAUCAAUGCACUCCUGCAAUAUACAUUGCUCCUCCAUCAGAUAUUGGCAUAGGCACAGUUCCUCUUCUUUAAAACAAGAGCAAAGAAACUUUGGAGGUGUGGGGAACUCAUCACCUGCAAUUAUCACAAUCAUCUCUGCUUGUAACCCUUCCUUCUCAAAGAGCUGGAAACAGAAACAUGAAGAAAGCAUUCUGAAGCAUUGGUGGAGUAGCCUGGCUUGUUGAAUGAAGUACAUAAAAUCCAUGCUUCUAUCUCGAUACUGAAAGGUGUCCCUCACUUCAGUUCUCAUUCUGUAACACUGAAGGACAGUGGGAGGCAACCUGUUACAUCUUUUUCAGACCAUCCAUGCAGCAUUGUCUUGAGAACAACUUGAACAUUUCGUUCCUGUUAUCUGUGUCGAAAUCUCCAGAUCACCCCAAACCUCAUAUACUUGCAUAAAAUAAGUGGUGACAGAAGGAAGAGACUGAGAAUUCAGGUGGAGAGAAGAGAGGCAGUUCUUUAGAGUGAGAGAUACGGUUCUAUGGCCAGUGUGAAAAAAAAAAAAAAAACAAAACAAAAAACAGAGAGAAAAUAAAAUUUUCCUCCUAUCUCUGUUCCACUCUCAUUUUAAUACAUCUUCAGACUAAAGCAGUGACAUCUCAUUUUCGACUGAAGACGUUUGGAAAUGGAUCUCCUAAAAAGAUGUCAGCAAACAGGCAAAUAAACACAGAAUGCAUAUCUAAGCUACUGGAUGUUUACAAAAGGUACUGCAGAAGGGAAAAUGUACCAGAUGAAAUGGAAAUUAUUUCAUGAAUCACCUCACGAUUUCACAGAAAUAAGGGAAGUAUUAUUACUGAUUAUUCUCCAUAAAACAAGUUUAAAAACAUACCAUCGUCUAAAAAGGAAAAGUGAAAGGUUUCUAAAUUGGAUAUUUCAAUAUUGCUAAUGAGAACGAAGUGAGCUGAUGAAUGUUGAAUCAUUCCUUGACAGUUUUUAAACAAAUAUUAUCAUUCAUUCUCUUUCCUGCAUCGACAGAUGAUGUUUCUUGUUCAAAUGAGGCUUCCUGACUUUUGAUAAAGGCUGCUGAAAAUAGCACUCCCCUUCCCAAGCUGUAUAUUCACCUCUAGCAUAUACUGACAUACUGACAGGGAAUGAAAAUUUGGGAUGCUCUGCAGUGUUCUGCCCUUUCAUGAAGGGUUUGUCUUGUGUGUGAAGUAUGAUGUACACCAUGGUAUCACUAUAUCACAUUACCCGGUGAUGAAUUUAGAAGCUGCCACUGCUGUCUAAUUCAGCAAUCCAUUUUGAAAUUGAGUAGCCUCUUCUCUCCCUUAAAAGUAGGGCAUCAUUAAAUUAAAGUAACCUAUUGUGUGCAGCAGACUAGGCAAGAAGUGGGUGAUGUUCUCCUGCCUUCAGCUGUCUGUCCCUGCCUGCUGGCUGCUUUCAAAUGGAGGAGACAAGUCUGAUGGGCUGCUUAAACUCGUUCCUUCACUUCCCUCCAUUCUUAGCCUCCACAGAGGGCAGACUUGGGACUGUAAAGAACAGCUGCUUACCUCACUGAUGCUUUAUAUACUGAUUUAAGUGUGUAUAUGCUCACUUUUAUAUCUUGUUUAUUCAUUACUGUGGAAGGCUAUAGGAAGUUGGAGGUGAGGAGAUGCUUUCCUGCAGGGGGAAAGUUGCAAGGUACAAGACUGAAAAUGGAUUUUGGAUUUGUGGAGCAGGCUGUGUGUAAGCAAAUGCACUUGGAUUCCGUGCUGGCUUUCUCCCGUUACACAGUUUUUGCAUUGUUCUUGAUCAAAAUGGAUGGAAAAUACUGAGGGUGUUCACUUGGUUUUGCUAUAAUUGCUAUAAACAUUCUAAAUAGUGCUUUGGUUAAUAGUCAGAAGGACAAAUGGGAAGGAAGCCAUCAGGUGGGUAGUCAGGUAGAGACACUUUGUUUGCGUUUACUGUAAGAGCACAUUGGAAAUAUUGUUAAUUUAACAUCAACCAUCUAAAGAUAGCACCAAUUCUAAUUUCAUCAGCAGGUGAGUGUGAAAAAUCGGCCAAUGUUUUCAAUGUAGAAGUGGAAAAAUAAAAAAAUAGAAAGCCAGUUAUGUAUUAAUUGUGAUAGAGCACUAUCUGAAUUUGAAGAGCUAGAAAUUCUGCCCAUUUCAUCGAGACUUGACCUAACAUUUCCCACUGCGAGUAGAAAAUAUUGAUAUAAUGCAUAGGAAUCAUUCUGUUUGUGGUGGGUUUUUGUGGUUGUUUGUCCUUUUCUUUCUUUCUUUUUUUUUACUAGCCGUUGCCCAUAUGGCCAGUUAAUUAUCCUUCUGCAGGCAGAAUUAUUUUAUUUAAUGAAUUUUUAAAUGUCAGUGACGUGAAAAACCAUUACUGUGGUUGUAAGUCCAUUACUCACCUUCAGCUUCUAUUUCCCAUCACCCCCCACUUUAGCUUUAAGGAGCAUCUGAAGUGACAGAGCUUUGAUUUCAGUUGAGAGUGCUGAGCACAGAAGUCUUACAAGUAAUACAUUAUUAAAAAAUCGUAGCAAGAAAAUUAAUUUCUACUAUCGUAUGCCAUGCUGGGUAUAUCACUUCUAACAAAUGACCUUUUUUUUUCAUAUAUUCAUUGGUAGAUUUACCAGGACAAAAUAAUUACUUUGUUUUCCACCUCUAAGAAAAAAAAAAAAGUCUUUUUCUUGUGCGUGUGUGGUUUUCUUGUUUUGUUUUUAAUUGAAAUAAGUACACAAAAUGGGUUCUAUAAGAUAAAAAGAAAAAGGAAAGAAAAAAGAAGGAACUGGAAAACCACACAGAAAUGAGGCACUGGCUCCCUGUCAUGUUGUCUGGUCAGUAAUAUUUCUUACUGUGAAAUUCCUGCAUGUUCGCAUGUUCAUGUUUAAAUCCUCCCAGAGAGAUUUUGCAUUGGAUCCUAGUUGAACUCAAGAAGGUAGAUGGUUAUGCGGUUUCUCAUAUUUCUUGCUUUUGAGAGGAACGUCUGUUUAUCCAGAGAGCCUUAUCUGGGCUUGGCGACGAGCACAUUCCGCAGCCAGAAGAAGGACCAGACAGGAAAUUGACCCAAAAAAAGGAAUUAAUAAAGCAACAAGUCACUAUACUCUGGACCACCUCAUUUCAGAAUUCUGCUUGAAGCACACUAAAGACUUCAGUGAGACUUUCUGACAGCGUGUGGUAAUGAAACUACCCCAUAAGGAGAUGAAAAACAAGAUAUACUCAAUGGGAGGAGCACAUGCUUGUACUUAAAUUCUUCUGUUUCUCCUUCAGUCAGAUGGGCAAAGGAAAAUGCUGUCCUAUCCCAAGAAAUGCAAAGGCAUAAUCAAGUAUGUCUGUGCCUCUCUUGCCAUUUUGAUAUUGGGAACUCAUCCAGCUGUGAACCAAUAGUCUUAUAUGGAAGAUCAGAACUGCUGCUCCUUCGCUUCUUGAUGUAGGAUCUCUCUAUACACAAGCACUGUGCGCGAGUCUUCCCCUUAAAACUUUGAGCACUGCAUAAAUUCUGCUGGUCAAGAGGCUCAGACUGUGAUUUCAAAAGGAACUCCCGUAUUUGUCAACACGUAGCUGAUGAAUGCUCACAGCUAAGAAGUGGUAUUGUGGAUCCCUUUCAUGACUUAUACCUAUAUUUACUGUGAUAACUGCAGAAUAAUCACACCAAUCACCAAGUUACUUGAAAAUAAAACUUCCUUUACUGACUAAUAUAUUCUGGAGAGGUACCUGUGGGAGGAUUGGAGUGAGCCACUGCCUGCAGAGCUAAAUAACAAGCAUGAACACAAGGUACUCACCUAAACAUCCUCCAUGAAAAUGCAGCUGACACACUUGAGGGACGGGAUGCCAUUCGAAAGAAGCAUGGUGAGCAGGGCCAGGGAGAUGGUCCUGUCCUCUACUCUGCGCUGGCAAGGCCUCACCUGGAGUACUGGGUCCAGAUGUGGCGUCCUUUGUACAGGAGAGGCACUGACCUGUUGGAGUGCAUCCAGAGGAGGGUCACAAAAAUGAUCCAAGGGAUGGAACACGUCUCCUAAGAGGACAUGCUGAAAGAGCAGGGGCUGUUCAGCCUGGAGAAGAGAAGGCUCCAGGGAGACCUGAGAGCAGCCAUUCAUAUCUAAAGGGGAGCUACAGGAAAGAAGGGGACAGACUCUUUAGAAGGGUUUAUUGUGAUGGGACAAGAGGAAGUGGUUUCAAGCUAUAAGGGGAAGAUUUAUACUGGAUAUAAGGAAGAAGUUCUUUGCAAUAAGGGUGGUGAGGCACUGGAACAGGUUGCCCAGAGAGGUGGUGGGAGCCCCAUUCUUGGAGACAGUCAAGGUCAGGCUGGAUGGGGCUUUGAGUACCCUGAUCUAGCUGUAGCUGUCUCCGUUCAUUGCAGGGGUGUUGGACUAGAUGGCCUUUAACGGUCUCUUCCAGCUCAAAAAAAUCCAUUAUUCUGUGAUUUUCACCCAGCCUAGUAUCUUUCCUGACAGGCUGUGUAGCCCGGCAGAUAAAGGAAGCAAAAUUAUCCUUCUUGAAUGUUAGCUCUUGCUUAGCAUCUUGGCAAAACCAGUUGGCAAAUAAACCUUUGUUUGACCUUGGUAUGUUUCUCUGGAAGCUCUGUUUUUCUCCUCUGCACUCCCUUCUUUAAAUAGAAAGAGAGGUCUCGGACCAACAGAGCGCAAAGGAGUCACAGCAGGCACAUGGGGAGGGAGUCUCUGCUUCCUCAGCUCUGGAUACAUCCCAGCCUGACAUGAUUUGUCACCUUGUGUAAUAUAAUUCAGCUUAAGAUAUAAAUUCCUGUAAGCCUUAAGCUGUGCAGCCAGAACGGUGAUAAAGUAACAGAGAAAUGAAGAUUUACAAGACACAUCUAAGGUGUAAACAUGAAUAAAAUAAUCCACACGCGUACAUAGUAAAAUGCUGUAUUCCUAUGCUUGCUUUAUAUUCCCCACACAGUUCGAAGUCUGAUUUACUGCUCCUUACUGAAAACACACUCUUGCUUGAAUAGAAACUUGCUGAAAUUUCACAAUUCUUAUCACUACUCAGGAUUGCUACAAAUUUGAUUCAGUUUGGGUUGGUUUGCCUUAGAAAUUUCUUCUGUGGGAACAGAACAUUUGCACAAGUCGUAUACCCC